AGUGAACGCUGGCGGUAGGCCUAACACAUGCAAGUCGAACGGCAGCACAGUAAGAGCUUGCUCUUACGGGUGGCGAGUGGCGGACGGGUGAGGAAUACAUCGGAGUCUACUUUUUCGUGGGGGAUAACGUAGGGAAACUUACGCUAAUACCGCAUACGACCUACGGGUGAAAGCAGGGGAUCUUCGGACCUUGCGCGAUUGAAUGGGCCGAUGUCGGAUUAGCUAGUUGGCGGGGUAAAGGCCCACCAAGGCGACGAUCCGUAGCUGGUCUGAGAGGAUGAUCAGCCACACUGGAACUGAGACACGGUCCAGACUCCUACGGGAGGCAGCAGUGGGGAAUAUUGGACAAUGGGCGCAAGCCUGAUCCAGCCAUACCGCGUGGGUGAAGAAGGCCUUCGGGUUGUAAAGCCCUUUUGUUGGGAAAGAAAAGCAGCAGGUUAAUACCCCGCUGUUCUGACGGUACCCAAAGAAUAAGCACCGGCUAACUUCGUG
This 492-nucleotide ribosomal RNA is filed under the name uncultured bacterium. RNAcentral's name for it is "partial 16S ribosomal RNA". It matches the Rfam family "Bacterial small subunit ribosomal RNA", at positions 29 to 507 of the family's 1533-position model. The record is from RNAcentral.